GGAGAACGUACGUCGCUAAUUGGACCUGAGAUAUCGUCCUGGAGCAUCGCGAUUACAUGUGUCUAUAUACGUAUAAAGGAUGAGACACGUGAUAAGGAGGGUGGACGAUAAACGUGAUUAGUCCUCGGAAUAUCCUGGUUGAAGCACGACCCCGAUGAAGCUUAGGCAAGAUAGAGAGAGAGAGAGAGCUCUCGCAUACUCAGGUGUUCGCUCUCACAGGCCUGGAGAUGUGUUUGACGUUCGCAUUACAGCGAAAACCACUCGUUGUCCUUAACGUUUGCGAUUCAAUCGUGUCGGGAGUGCCGUGUAAAAGUUCGGGCGAUCGUAUAUAAUUAUUCGUAUUUUCGCGAGUGAGUGCUACGAAGGACCAAGAGAGGAUCAAGAGAGGAGGCUGAAGAGGCAUCGGGUGACAGCGGGGCAACUGUGAGAUCAAUGAUGUGUACUACUACAACUCCGCUAUUGCAGGUAUCGAGAAUCGGGACAGCCGCGAGGAUGAUAAUGACGAGGAGGAGGCGAUCGAUCAAGCAGCAAGGAUGAAUUUUUACAGACGCGUCUUCCUCGAUGCGAGGCGACGACAGGCUUCGUUGCUGCUCCUCGGCGUUCCUGGCGACCCUCGUCAUCGGGGUGAGAAACCGACGAGGAUAUUUGGCGGUCGAAUUCACGAGGGUCUCAGACGACGCAGCGUCGGUCACUCCAGAUUCCUAAUGAGCACAGCCAGCUCGCGGAACGAGGCGCCGAGUUUCCCGGACGUCGGCUGCUUCUUCAACAGAAUCGCCCGUAUCGCCGAGAGCUUCUCGUAGCAAGAGAGGCACUUGUGGUACCUGGGGAGGUCAGAGAGGGAAAUGGUUCUUCGAUGAAGUAAAGCUUGGAAUGAAAAUGUUCCAGGUGGAUCACGGAGUUAAGAACAGAAAAUUAUAUACAUCGAAUGAAAUGUCAGGCUCGACGUGGUAUCGCUAUUACAGAGUGACUGCGAACGACAGCUGCUUAGCAGUUUACCUUCUUGUCAUCACCGCCAGUUACCAAGACACGACCAGAUUUGUGGCCUAACGCCAGACAAUUGACAUUUGGCGUAUGGGCAGCAAAUUCCUCUGCAAGAAAAAAAGAAUGGGGACCGAAAGAGCGCUAUAAUUUAGCACUUGGACUCCUGCCUCGCAAAGAAACGACCUUCCUGUCCUCGCUGCGAGACAAAUUCUCGUCGAGCCAGUUAUAACCAUAAUUGGAAAGAAACCGCGAGGAGGUCAGCUCACACGUAUAAACAGAGAGAGAGAGAGAGAGAGAGAUCGUUUAUUCUCGGAGAGGCCGAGUUUCUCGCGACGCGUAGGAGGACUUUCGGGGACAAGGACGUUCGGUUUCCCAGCGGACGACGUUCUUACGGAGCUUCCAGGAUCUCCUCGUGGACGAGGCCAUCUUCGUGCCGCGUGGACUUAUUUGGCAGCGACGACGAUGACAGCUCGGGACUUGGACCUGGAUUGACGCGCGUCGUGCGAUCUCCUCUGGCGCGGACGUGACAUGUUUAUCAGCAGCGGCGGCUCUCUUCCUCUGCUCUCGCGCACUCCUCCAAGUACUACCCUCUUCCUUUCGCGACCGGACACCGCGACGCGUGGCGUCGCGUCGCGUCGUCGCUCCCCUCCUCGGGAGCGAGAACGUGUGGAGAAAAAAACGUGACGUGACGUGUGCUCACGAGCGCGGAAAAUGAUCCCCGAGAUGAUGAUCGCCUCUCUCGCUCAAGAAACUGCCACCUCCUCCUCUUCGUUAUCGUCGUAUCUCAUCUCUUCAAUCUCUCACUAUCUUUUUCUCUCUCUUCCUCUAUGCCAGUGCAUUUGCAUUGGAGAGCGAAUAG
This is a non-coding RNA of Nylanderia fulva, 1840 nucleotides long. NCBI's taxonomy places the organism in Eukaryota, Metazoa, Arthropoda, Insecta, Hymenoptera, Formicidae. The record is from RefSeq and is a predicted model, not a curated record.